RNAcentral lists this ribosomal RNA (301 nucleotides) under uncultured bacterium. RNAcentral describes it as "partial 16S ribosomal RNA". It matches the Rfam family "Bacterial small subunit ribosomal RNA", at positions 509 to 807 of the family's 1533-position model. The record is from RNAcentral.
CAGUAGCCACGGGAACACGUAGGGUGCGAGCGUUAAUCGGAAUUACUGGGCGUAAAGCGUGCGCAGGCGGUUAUAUAAGACAGAUGUGAAAUCCCCGGGCUCAACCUGGGACCUGCAUUUGUGACUGUAUAGCUAGAGUAUGGUAGAGGGGGAUGGAAUUCCGCGUGUAGCAGUGAAAUGCGUAGAUAUGCGGAGGAACACCGAUGGCGAAGGCAAUCCCCUGGACCUGUACUGACGCUCAUGCACGAAAGCGUGGGGAGCAAACAGGAUUAGAUACCCGAGUAGUCCCUGUCUCUUAUAC